RNA transcript from Helianthus annuus (common sunflower), 1957 nucleotides. It is a transcript of the gene named phosphoglycerate mutase-like protein, with no coding region annotated. Lineage: Eukaryota; Viridiplantae; Streptophyta; Magnoliopsida; Asterales; Asteraceae. The transcript has 6 exons. The record is from RefSeq and is a predicted model, not a curated record.
CCCCCCCAAAUCGAUCCACCAGCCCUACCCCAACCCAAGAUGCCGCCAAAUUGAUUCGACUCAGCCACAGCCGCUCGCUCGCCACCACGAUCUGCAGCGUUUGGAGUCAUCUCACAGAUCCUCAACUGCUUGCUCGAUGCACCACGUCCACUGCACCAGGGCUGAGAGAGGGGAUGUCGAGAUUAUGAGAGGGCAGUGCUGAUAUGGUGGCCUGAGUGGGUCUCGGUUUGACUUUGGUUAAUUGUUUUUUGGGGCAGGUUUGAGUUUGCUUAGUUGUUUAGAUGCUUGCUGGAACGUUUUAAGGUUUAUUAUUGACUUUGGUUUAUUGUUCUUAAAAACUAAGUGGCAAAAAAGAGCACAGAUAGGAUCUCCAUGUGUGAGAAGCUCCCUUUAUGAUGUUUUUUUUGGGAUAAAAAACCGGAUUUACUUUUGAAUUCAAUAGUAUGUUUUCUAGAGAUAACUGAGCUAUACUCAUGGUAUAGAUGGAUGUUUGACUCAUGGCUAAACUGAAUAGAUCUACUGGUAAAACAUGUAGCCUAUAUUAAUUCAACCUGUCAUAUUUACACCAACCACGUAGCAAUUAGAGCUGUAAACGAGCCGAGUCGAGCCAAGCCAGGGCCAGCUCGACCUCGGUUGAACUUCAAACGAGCCAUCUCGGCUCGGCUCGAAAUCAUUAGUCGAGCCAAAAAUUUGAGCUCGGGCUCGACUCGUAUAAAAUUCGAGCUGGCUCGGCUCGCUCGGUUUUGGCUUGUGUUUUUUAAACAAUCAAGUUAGAUAUGUGGAAGGUGUGUUUACAAACCGAACCGAGCCGAGCCGAGCCAGCUCAUUUAAAACUGAGUCGAUUUUGAAUCGAGCUUUUCCGAACUUUUUCGAGCGAACUUCGAGCACGUCUCGACCCGCGAGUUUUAUGAACACCCCUAGUAGCAAUUGGUACGACAAUUUGAAAUGAUAUAUCUGUAUUUUGUAAUAUUUAAAAGGUCAGUAUAGUUUCUUUUUCUAGAUUUUUCAAAUUUUGCUCCUGGAAUAAUUGAAUAUAUGCACUACCUUUGAUUUUCAAUGCCAUUUGAUUCUAAGGUUUUUACAUAUGUGUAAAGUAUUGUUUACAUACAUUUUGCUCGAUUCUAAGGUUUUUACAUAUGUGUAAAGUAUUGUUUACAUACAUUUUUCUCCUGGAAUAAUUGAAUAUAUGCACUACCUUUGAUUUUCAAUGCCAUUCGAGUUUUAUGAACACCCCAAACCCCACGGCGCUGCCAGAUUGAUUCAACCCGACCACAGAGGCUCGCUCGCCGCCACGACUUGCAGCCUUCGGAGUCAACUUACCACCUCAGCCGCUCGCGCGCCGCACCUCGUCCGCUGCACCAGGUAGAUAAUCUUCGGAAGCAUGUUCAUCGGUCUAGACUUAUCAAAAAUAUCGAAUUGGUGGUCGUUUCACCUUUGCUCAGGACUAUGCAAACAGCAGUUGGUGCUUUUGGAGGUGAAGCUACUGCUGUUGGGAUUGAUGUGCCUCCACUGAUGGCAGAAAAUAUGGGCAACAGUAAUCGUCCUGCAAUUUCAAGCCUAAAUUGUCCUCCCUUCAUUGCUGUGGAGCUUUGUCAAGAGGAUAUGGGCAUUCAUCCUUGUGAUCGGAGGAGAAGUAUAAGUGAAUACAAAUCCAUGUUCCCAGCAAUUGAUUUUUCUUUGAAUAUGAAGAGAGGCCCGAAUUACCAUCUUCCGACAAGUUAAGUUGCGGCAGGUGCUUUUCGAUACAUAACAGGUCCGCGAAUCAAAUUGUAGUUUAGCUCAUACAAGGUCAAACUACAAAUGUUUGUCAUCCCCGCCACAACACGCGAGUUGAAAGCACUAGUUACUACUGUUUUAAUAUGGUGAUAUAAACAAACUGCUAUGUAAUUUUUGGUUGUUUAAAUGUGAAUUACUGUUUAAUUCUUUGUAUACUUAUACUUGUGAACGUUUUGGUCCA